This is a long non-coding RNA of Balaenoptera musculus (blue whale), 1401 nucleotides long. RefSeq lists it as uncharacterized. The record is from RefSeq and is a predicted model, not a curated record. Lineage: Eukaryota; Metazoa; Chordata; Mammalia; Artiodactyla; Balaenopteridae. The transcript is spliced from 4 exons.
CGGCCGCCGGGGCCCCAGUAACCGCCGCACCGGCCCGGGCGCAGGGGGCGCCUGUCAAGUGCCUGCACUAGGCUCGUCGGCCUGCGGCGGUCCCGCGGAUCCCACCUCCGGUUGCCCCCCGUCAGGGAAAGCCGGGGUGACAGGAUAAAGGCCAGAGGCUCCUGGACGAUGCUGACGUUCACAUGCCCCAGGUUUCCGUACUUGGAGAGCUGAGUGGGUGGAAUGCCUGGCCCAGAUGGUAAAGAAUAGAAGUGGAAAAAGCGUUUAAUAAAUUUAAUUAUUGAUGUGUCACAGGUCUGUGCCAUCUGAGCUGGAGGAAAAAGGACUUGGAGACAGCGAUUUAAAUAAGGAACGAGGUCUUCCAGGAAGACAGUGCAGAACUGGACGAAGAGCUCUUGCUCCGCACUGCUGAAGGCAGCCUCUUCGGCACGAUGGAAGGCCAAGAUUACUUUUGUUACCUAAGAGACAAGGGCACCAUCAAUCACUGGGAGGACAUCAACAGAAAGAUUUUAUACAACCACGUCACAACUGCCACCUGGUUGACAGCGACUGUAAGAUGUCGUCAAUUAUAAGCAGCACCCAAUAUCUAAAGAUUUAAUGUGUAAAAAUGUGCACCAUACUCAGAUAUUAGCAAUAUUGGUAGUAGUACUUGUAUCAGGCAGAAUUCUAAUAUGGCUCUUGUAAUCCCCGCCCCCUGGUAUCCACUCCUUUGUGUAAUCUCCUCCCCUUGAGUGCAGGCAGAAUCUCUGACUUGUUUCUAACCACAGAAUAUGGCAAAGGUGAAGGAUUUGGCAGUUUUAAUUAACAUCCCUAACCGGCUGAUUGAAUUAAUGAAAAGGGAGGUUAUCCUGGGUGGGCCUACCCUAAUUAGAUGAGCCUCUUAAAAGAGGGUUGAGGACUCCCCUAAAGGAGACUUAGCAAGCAGAGAUGCUCUCCCAUUGGCCCUGAAGAAUCAAAAAGCUACACUGAACUGCCUAUGGAGUGGGCUGGUCUCUAGGAGUUGAGGGCCUCAGUCCUACAACUGUAAGGAACAGAAAUCUGCCACUGUGAGUGAGCUUGAAAGGAGGGGACCCUGAGCUCCAGAUGAGUCCACAGCCUGGCCAAUAACUUGAUUGCAACCUUGUGAGCAGAGGACCAACCCAUUUAGGCUGUGCCUGGACUCCUGACCGAAAGAAACUGAGACAUGAUAAAUGUGUGUUGUUUUAAGCUGCUAUGUUUGUGUGAGUUUGUUAUACAGCAAUAGAAAAUCAGUAUAUUACUGAACCAUUACUACAGGUGAGACACUUCAUGAAAGGGGACUAACCAGAGCUUUUCAACCAGAAAAACCUCUAAAACCACACUAAACCUAAGUCAGCAGGCACCACCGUCACACAGACUGGUUUAUUACAGAAGUCUGGCCAC